UACAGAGGGGGCAAGCGUUGUUCGGAAUUACUGGGCGUAAAGGGCGCGUAGGCGGCCCGCUAAGUCGAACGUGAAAUCCCCGAGCUCAACUCGGGAACUGCGUCCGAUACUGGUGGGCUUGAAUCCGGGAGAGGGAUGCGGAAUUCCAGGUGUAGCGGUGAAAUGCGUAGAUAUCUGGAGGAACACCGGUGGCGAAGGCGGCAUCCUGGACCGACACUGACACUGAGGAGCGAAAGCCAGGGGAGCAAACGGG
This 253-nucleotide ribosomal RNA is filed under the name uncultured bacterium. RNAcentral describes it as "partial 16S ribosomal RNA". It matches the Rfam family "Bacterial small subunit ribosomal RNA", at positions 524 to 776 of the family's 1533-position model. The record is from RNAcentral.